This 657-nucleotide ribosomal RNA is filed under the name Triticum aestivum (bread wheat). RNAcentral's name for it is "partial small subunit ribosomal RNA". The record is from RNAcentral. Lineage: Eukaryota; Viridiplantae; Streptophyta; Magnoliopsida; Poales; Poaceae.
AUGGAGAGAUAUAGGGAGCAAAAGAAGGACUUGCAUAUGGUGUUCAUUGACUUGGAGAAGGCCUAUGAUAAGAUACCGCGGAAUGUCAUGUGGUGGGCCUUGGAGAAACACAAAGUCCCAGCAAAGUACAUUACCCUCAUCAAGGACAUGUACGAUAAUGUUGUGACAAGUGUUCGAACAAGUGAUGUCGACACUGAUGACUUCCCGAUUAAGAUAGGACUGCAUCAGGGGUCAGCUUUGAGCCCUUAUCUUUUUGCAUUGGUGAUGGAUGAGGUCACAAGGGAUAUACAAGGAGAUAUCCCAUGGUGUAUGCUCUUUGCGGAUGAUGUGGUGCUAGUUGACGAUAGUCGGGCGGGGGUAAAUAGGAAGUUAGAGUUAUGGAGACAAACCUUGGAAUCGAAAGGGUUUAGGCUUAGUAGGACUAAAACCGAGUACAUGAUGUGCGGUUUUAGUACUACUAGGUGUGAGGAGGAGGAGGUUAGCCUUGAUGGUCAGGUGGUACCUCGGAAGGACACCUUUCGGUAUUUGGGGUCAAUGCUGCAGGAGGAUGGGGGUAUUGAUGAAGAUGUGAACCAUCGGAUCAAAGCUGGAUGGAUGAAGUGGCGCCAAGCUUCUGGCAUUCUCUGUGACAAGAGAGUGCCACAAAAGCUAAAAGUU